CACUAAGAAGCUAUCAGAGCAUUAACCUUUUAAGUUAAAGAUCGAGAGUUUAAACCUCUCCUUAGUGA
This 68-nucleotide transfer RNA is filed under the name Parahyaena brunnea. RNAcentral's name for it is "tRNA-Lys". It matches the Rfam family "tRNA". From Rfam's summary of the family: Transfer RNA (tRNA) molecules are approximately 80 nucleotides in length. Their secondary structure includes four short double-helical elements and three loops (D, anti-codon, and T loops). Lineage: Eukaryota; Metazoa; Chordata; Mammalia; Carnivora; Hyaenidae. The record is from RNAcentral.